AGUGAACGCUGGCGGUAGGCCUAACACAUGCAAGUCGAACGGCAGCACAGUAAGAGCUUGCUCUUACGGGUGGCGAGUGGCGGACGAGUGAGGAAUACAUCGGAAUCUACUUUUUCGUGGGGGAUAACGUAGGGAAACUGACGCUAAUACCGCAUACGACCUACGGGUGAAAGCAGGGGAGCUUCGGACCUUGCGCGAUUGAAUGAGCCGAUGUCGGAUUAGCUAGUUGGCGGGGUAAAGGCCCACCAAGGCGACGAUCCGUAGCUGGUCUGAGAGGAUGAUCAGCCACACUGGAACUGAGACACGGUCCAGACUCCUACGGGAGGCAGCAGUGGGGAAUAUUGGACAAUGGGCGCAAGCCUGAUCCAGCCAUACCGCGUGGGUGAAGAAGGCCUUCGGGUUGUAAAGCCCUUUUGUUGGGAAAGAAAAGCAGCAGGUUAAUACCCCGCUGUUCUGACGGUACCCAAAGAAUAAGCACCGGCUAACUUCGUG
This 492-nucleotide ribosomal RNA is filed under the name uncultured bacterium. RNAcentral's name for it is "partial 16S ribosomal RNA". It matches the Rfam family "Bacterial small subunit ribosomal RNA", at positions 29 to 507 of the family's 1533-position model. The record is from RNAcentral.